RNAcentral lists this ribosomal RNA (440 nucleotides) under uncultured bacterium. RNAcentral's name for it is "partial 16S ribosomal RNA". It matches the Rfam family "Bacterial small subunit ribosomal RNA", at positions 338 to 795 of the family's 1533-position model. The record is from RNAcentral.
CCUACGGGCGGCAGCAGUGGGGAAUAUUGCACAAUGGGGGAAACCCUGAUGCAGCGACGCCGCGUGAGUGAAGAAGUAUUUCGGUACGUAAAGCUCUAUCAGCAGGGAAGAAAAUGACGGUACCUGACUAAGAAGCUCCGGCUAACGACGUGCCAGCAGCCGCGGUAAUACGUAGGGGGCAAGCGUAAUCCGGAUUUACUGGGUGUAAAGGGAGCGUAGACGGCAGCGCAAGUCUGGAGUGAAAUCCCAUGGCUUAACCAUGGAACUGCUUUGGAAACUGUGCAGCUAGAGUGCAGGAGAGGUAAGCGGAAUUCCUAGUGUAGCGGUGAAAUGCGUAGAUAUUAGGAGGAACACCAGUGGCGAAGGCGGCUUACUGGACUGUAACUGACGUUGAGGCUCGAAAGCGUGGGGAGCAAACAGGAUUAGAUACCCCGGUAGUC